GCCGGGGUGACAGAGCGGUUAUGUGGCGGACUGCAGAUCCGCAUAUGAGGGUUCGACUCCCUCCUCCGGCC
This 71-nucleotide transfer RNA is filed under the name Methanobacteriota archaeon. Its description in RNAcentral is "Euryarchaeota archaeon (groundwater metagenome) tRNA-Cys". It matches the Rfam family "tRNA". Rfam says of the family: Transfer RNA (tRNA) molecules are approximately 80 nucleotides in length. Their secondary structure includes four short double-helical elements and three loops (D, anti-codon, and T loops). Lineage: Archaea; Methanobacteriati; Methanobacteriota. The record is from RNAcentral.